RNA transcript from Leopardus geoffroyi (Geoffroy's cat), 2525 nucleotides. It is a transcript of the gene named CD99 molecule (Xg blood group), with no coding region annotated. The transcript is spliced from 11 exons. The record is from RefSeq and is a predicted model, not a curated record. NCBI's taxonomy places the organism in Eukaryota, Metazoa, Chordata, Mammalia, Carnivora, Felidae.
UCUGCGCGCCCCGCCCCGGGGGCACUCCCGCCGCCGCCGCCCGCGCGUGCCACUCCCGGGACGGUUCCUGCGCGGCGCCCGCCGGCCGCACCAUGGCUCCCCGGGCCGCCGUCGCGCUGCUGCUGGUCGGCCUGCUCGGCACGCUGGUGCCCGCUCGGGGCCAGGAUUUCGAUUUGUCGGAUGCCCUCGACAACACUGACAAGAAACCCACGGCGCCCCCCAAGAAGCCCGGCACAGACAGUUCGGACUUGAAUUUGGAAGAUGCCCUCGGCGGGGGAGGAAGCCACGACCCAGUACCACCUAAACCACCCAAACCGAAGCCUAACCCAGACCCCAAGCAGCCUGGAUCUUCUGGUGGCUUCUCAGAUUCCGAUCUCCUCGAUGGAGCCUCAGAUGCAGGGGGCGGUGGCGAUGGCCCCGGCGGUGGAGGCCCAAGGCCUGAUGGGGAGGAGCAGGCUGACUCCCCUGGGGUGGUCCCUGGCAUCGUGGGGGCCGUCGUGGUGGCCGUGGCUGGGGCAAUUUCUAGCUUUAUCGCCUACCAGAAGAAAAAAUUGUGCUUCAAAGAAAACGACCAGCCGAGGAUGUAGGCACGUGCAGAACGCCCCGUGCAGGCCCGAAGAUGUUCCCGUGUGCCGACCAAGGUGACGUGAGCUCGAAAAACCAGCAGAGCACCAACUCGGACCAACCUGUUCAGUGGACCCUUCUGGAGAAAUAGAAGCUAUGCAGCCGUCGAACGCGGCCCCCGUGUUUCCAGCAGGAUCCAGCCCCGACCUGCCCACGCCUGUGCUCACGUUGAGGCUCUCUGUCAUGUUCUGCUUGACAUGUGUUUUUGCCUGUUUGCACCAUGCUGGGUGGAGGAACGUCACUAACACCCCGUGUUCAUUCGGAGGGGACGCGUGGUCAGCUUAUCCGUGGCCGCUAGGGGUUUCCCCAGGGGCUGUGAAAGGCCCACCACGCAUCACAAAGUCAUUUGAAUCCCGACCCCACUGAAGUUCCCCCCACCCCCGCCCCCAUCCCGGGAGCUCUGGGCCAUUGACCCUGGGAGACAGCGAGACAAGCCUUCAAUUAGUGUCCUCAGAAUUUCCUUCAUUUGGAAGGAGUUUUGUUUUUUUGUUUUUUUUUCAGAUCAGACUAAUAAAGAAAGAAAUAAGGAACCAAGUACUUUUUACUUAAAUGCAAUGCCAUGGGGUGACUCCUAAAGGCUGUGGGACACAGUGGUAGGGCUGUGGUCCCUUUUCUGGGGCUGUGACACAAAUGACCGACCUAAGGGUAGCCUUUCAGUUUUGGGAUUUUCUUUCUCUGCCUGUUUCCUUCCACCGGUCUUAGGACAUCGGGGACAAGGCCUUCUCAGUGUUCAGAUACUCCCCUGCAGGGGAUACUUCUCUGCAUUCAGAUACUCCCCUGCAUUCAGAUACUCCCAUGCAUCCAGAUAACCCUCUGCAUCCAAACACUCCCCUCCAUCAGAUACUCCCCCAUAGCAGAUGCUUCAUAUGCAGAUACUCCCCUGCAUUCAGAUACUCCCCAGCAUUAGAUAUUUCAUAUUCAGAUACUCCCUUGCAUUCAGAUACUCCAGAUACUCCCCUGCAUUAGAUACUUCAUAUUCAGAUACUCCCCUGCAUUAGAUACUUCAUACUCAGAUUACCACCCUGCUUUCAGAUACUCCCUUGCAUUAGAUACUUCCGAUACUCCCCUGAAUUAGAUACUUCAUAGAUACUCCCCUGCAUUCAGAUACUCCCCUGCAUCAGAUAGUCCCCUCAUUCUUCCAUGUGGGUUUUUUGUUGUUGUUGUUGUUGGGAAUUUGUUAACUAUAACGUCUUUAGAAAAUGUUUUAACUGCUUUGAUGUGAAAGCUCCCUUUAACUUUGGGGUAAGACUGCCUUGUGGCAGGGCAUCUCCUGAUGUGUUUCCUAACAGCUUGAAAUGAAAGGAAAGCAUACUCUUCCUUCUCGAAAUAAACAAGGACUUUCGUACAUUGAGAAACACUGCCCCCCACCCCCACCCCGUGUAGGGCUCUGCACGCACUGGAAGGCUGCUGACUUGCAGGCUUGUAUAUACUCUUGGGAAGGCUUCAUUGAGAUUAAUCGCAUCCAGGGCAGAAGUUCUGAUGUUCCGUUUUUCCGUGGCUCAGGUAUGUGCGGAAGUUCCAUGUGCGGAACAUGGCCGUGGGGAGUCCAGAGGACCUAACACACGCAUCUCAAGUGUUGGGGUAGACCAGUUGUCAGGGGGCUGAGGGCUGGGUUAUCCAACACAGCUGGGUCCCAGUGCUACCUAACACACAACACCUAGGUUUACAAACGCAGCACACAGGUGUCCACAUUCUUCCCGAACGAGCCUUCAGCAUCAGACCGUGCACAUCGGCUUGCUUUACAGUAAGAAAAAAGUGCAUAAAAUCGUUUUGUGACUCUGUGAAUAACAUUGAUGUUUUUACAAGCAUUGCAGUCCUACUAUAAGCAUAAAUGUCUCCUUACAGGAGAGUAGAGGGGAGCUGUGGGUGACUCAUUCAUAAAUAAAUGUAUACAUGUAAGA